This 87-nucleotide transfer RNA is filed under the name Desulfobotulus alkaliphilus. Its description in RNAcentral is "tRNA-Leu". It matches the Rfam family "tRNA". From Rfam's summary of the family: Transfer RNA (tRNA) molecules are approximately 80 nucleotides in length. Their secondary structure includes four short double-helical elements and three loops (D, anti-codon, and T loops). The record is from RNAcentral. Lineage: Bacteria; Pseudomonadati; Thermodesulfobacteriota; Desulfobacteria; Desulfobacterales; Desulfobacteraceae.
GCCGAAGUGGUGGAAUUGGUAGACACGCUAGGUUCAGGGUCUAGUGGACGUAUGUCCAUGGGAGUUCGAGUCUCCCCUUCGGUACCA